UCAAUGUUGAAGAGUGAACGAGCUAACUGAAAGAUUAAAAAAUCUAAGAUAGUAAUCUUAUAAAUUCAAUAUUUCUAAGAUUAAAUACGAAUCUAACUAAUAGUGUCGUCCAAAUUCUGGUGCCAGAAGACUCGGUAAUACCAGAGACGCGAACGUUAAUCAUCUUGAAUGGGCAUAAAGGGUUUGUAGGCGGCUUAUUUAUGAAUAGGCUAGAAUCUUAUAGAGGUUAUAAAAUAUUUAGAGGAGGGCUGAUAUCCUUAGAUCCUGAGUGGAAUCCUAAUUGCGAAGGCCAUUUUCCAAUAAAGAUUGACCUGAGACACGAAAGUUAGGACAGGAACUAGGAUUAGAGACCCUAUUACCCCUAAUGUAAACGAUGAAUGGAAGAUAUUUACUAUAACAGUAAGUGUCGAAGUGAAUACGAUAACCAUUCCCCUUGCCAGUAUACUUGCAUAAGUGAAAACAAAAAAAUUAGUCGG
This 476-nucleotide ribosomal RNA is filed under the name Hydnum repandum. RNAcentral's name for it is "mitochondrial SSU rRNA". It matches the Rfam family "Bacterial small subunit ribosomal RNA", at positions 368 to 916 of the family's 1533-position model. The record is from RNAcentral. Lineage: Eukaryota; Fungi; Basidiomycota; Agaricomycetes; Cantharellales; Hydnaceae.